AGAGUUUGAUCCUGGCUCAGGGUGAACGCUAGGAGUAUGCUUAACACAUGCGAGUCGAACGAGAAAAGAUUUUUCUUUUUUAGUGGCGUACGGGUGAGUAAUACAUAGGAACUUACCUUUUAGUUCAGAUUAAGAUUCUGAAUUCAAAAGAAAAAAUUUCGCUAAAAGAUAGGCCUAUGGAAGAUUAGGUAGUUGGUAUGGGUAAAAGCCUACCAAGCCUAUGAUCUUUAGCUGUACUGUGAGGUUGGUCAGCCACACUGGGACUGAGACAAGGCCCAGGCUUCAUUCGAAGCCAGCAGUGAGGAAUCUUGGACAAUGAGCGAAAGCUUGAUCCAGCAAUACUCCAUGAGUGAUGACAGCUUUCAAGUUGUAAAACUCUUUGGUUGAUGAGGAUAAUGACAGUAGUCAACAUAAUAGCCCCGGCUAACUUCGUGCCAGCAGCCGCGGUAAGACGAAGGGGGCGAGCGUUACCCGGAAUGACUGGGCGUAAAGGGUCCGUAGGCAGUGUUUUAUGUUAAAGGUGAAAAACUAAAGCUCAACUUUUUUCUAGCCUUUAAAACGUUAACACUUUGAGUUUGAAAGAAGAUAGCAGAAUUUCACAUGGAGGGGUGAUAUCCUUAGAGAUGUGAAGGAAUACCAGAGGCGAAGGCGGCUAUCUAGUUCAGUACUGACGCUGAGGGACGAAAGCAUGGGGAGCAAACAGGAUUAGAUACCCUGGUAGUCCAUGCCCUAAAAUAUGAGUGCUCGUGCUUAGGAUUUUUUUAGGCACUAAGCUAACGCUUUAAGCACUCCGCCUGGGG
Molecule: ribosomal RNA, 800 nt
Filed under: uncultured bacterium
Lineage: Bacteria
Description: bacterial SSU rRNA
Rfam family: Bacterial small subunit ribosomal RNA
Source: RNAcentral